This is a non-coding RNA of Microcebus murinus (gray mouse lemur), 2532 nucleotides long. The record is from RefSeq and is a predicted model, not a curated record. NCBI's taxonomy places the organism in Eukaryota, Metazoa, Chordata, Mammalia, Primates, Cheirogaleidae.
GAGACACUCUUUCUGGCGGUAUUUCUAGUCCGCCAUCUUGAUCCUGACUCUUACUAUGUUUAUUGACCAUUUAGAGUUCCUUAAUGAAGUGUUUGCUUAAGAUUUUGGCCCAUUUUUCUAUUCUUUUGUCUUUUUCUUAUUUUUUUGUAUAUUCUGGAGACAAAUUCUUUGUAAGUUAUCUGAGUUGCAAAUUUCUUCUUCAACUCUUUGGCAUGCCUGAGUCUUUUGGUGAAUAGAAAUCCUUAAUUAAAAAUUUAAAAUAGGAAGAGACGCGGAGCGGGCCGAGUGCGGCCGAGCAAAGCCGGAGCCGGAGCGGGGCCGCAGGAGCUGGGCCGGGUCCGGACGGGCCGAGAUGCCCUAUAAACUGAAGAAGGAGGAGGAGCCCCCCAAGCUUGCCAAAGGCACGGCCAAGCCCAGCAGCUCAGGCAAGGAUGGUGGAGGCGAGAACACCGAGGAGGCCCAGCCACAAGCCCAACCCCAGGCUCAGCCGCAGCCACCAUCAUCCAACAAGCGUCCCAGCAAUAGCACGCCACCCCCUACACAGCUCAGCAAAUUCAAGUACUCAGGGGGGCCUCAGAUUGUCAAGAAGGAGCGACGGCAAAGCUCCUCCCGCUUCAACCUCAGCAAGAACCGGGAGCUGCAGAAGCUUCCUGCCCUGAAAGAUUCGCCAACUCAGGAGCGGGAGGAGCUGUUUAUCCAGAAGCUACGCCAGUGCUGUGUCCUCUUUGACUUCGUGUCAGACCCACUCAGUGACCUCAAAUUUAAGGAGGUGAAACGGGCAGGACUCAACGAGAUGGUGGAGUACAUCACCCACAGCCGUGAUGUCGUCACCGAGGCCAUUUACCCUGAGGCUGUCACCAUGUUUUCAGUGAACCUUUUCCAGACGCUGCCACCUUCAUCAAAUCCCACAGGGGCCGAAUUUGACCCAGAGGAAGAUGAGCCCACCCUCGAAGCUGCCUGGCCACACCUCCAGCUCGUGUAUGAGUUUUUCUUACGUUUCCUUGAGUCUCCUGAUUUCCAGCCAAACAUAGCGAAGAAGUACAUUGACCAGAAGUUUGUCCUUGCUCUCCUAGACUUAUUUGACAGUGAGGAUCCUAGAGAGCGGGACUUCCUCAAGACCAUUUUACAUCGCAUCUAUGGCAAGUUUUUGGGGCUCCGGGCUUAUAUUCGUAGGCAGAUCAACCACAUCUUCUACAGGUUUAUCUACGAGACCGAGCAUCACAAUGGGAUUGCUGAGCUCCUGGAGAUCCUUGGCAGCAUCAUCAAUGGCUUUGCCCUGCCCCUUAAGGAAGAGCACAAGAUGUUCCUUAUUCGUGUCCUGCUUCCCCUUCACAAGGUCAAGUCCCUUAGUGUCUACCACCCUCAGUUGGCAUACUGUGUGGUACAGUUCCUGGAGAAGGAGAGCAGUCUGACUGAGCCGGUGAUUGUGGGACUUCUCAAGUUUUGGCCCAAGACCCACAGCCCUAAGGAGGUGAUGUUCUUGAAUGAACUAGAGGAGAUUCUGGACGUCAUUGAACCUUCAGAGUUCAGCAAAGUCAUGGAACCACUCUUCCGCCAGCUUGCCAAAUGUGUCUCCAGCCCCCAUUUCCAGGUGGCAGAGCGUGCUAUUACUGGAACAAUGAGUAUAUCAUGAGCCUGAUAAGCUGCCCGAGUCCUCCCCAUCAUGUUCCCUGCACUCUACAGGAACUCCAAGAGUCACUGGAACAAGACAAUCCAUGGAUUGAUCUAUAAUGCCCUGAAGCUGUUUAUGGAAAUGAAUCAGAAGCUGUUUGAUGACUGCACACAACAAUAUAAGGCAGAGAAGCAGAAAGGCCGGUUCUGAAUGAAGGAAAGGGAAGAGAUGUGGCAAAAAAUCGAGGAGCUUGCCCGGCUUAAUCCCCAGUAUCCCAUGUUCCGAGCUCCUCCACCACUGCCCCCUGUGUACUCGAUGGAGACAGAGACCCCCACAGCAGAGGACAUCCAGCUUCUGAAGAGGACGGUGGAGACUGAGGCUGUGCAGAUGCUAAAGGACAUCAAGAAGGAGAAAGUGCUACUGCGGAGGAAGUCAGAGCUGCCCCAGGAUGUGUACACCAUCAAGGCACUGGAGGCACACAAGCGGGCGGAAGAGUUCCUAACUGCCAGCCAGGAGGCUCUCUGACCCCCACACUUUCCCACCACAGGGCCACAGCCCACUCAGCCCUGGGACGCUGCCCUAGUCCUCCACUUUCGGUUCCCUACUGGCUGCCUUGGGGCAAGGCAGCGCCUCUGUAGCUACUCUGUGGAGGGGAUAUGGGCACUUGAAGCAGGGACACCAACAGAGUAGUCCCUCUUCUCCCCAAAAUGUGUUCAUGCCUCCCUGUGGCUAGUACAGAGAGGUUGAGCACUCAGAUGCUCAGUGCUCAGACAACCUGGGGAUGGCUGUGCCCCUCCUGUUCCUAACCCCACAGCUACUUGAGGCUACUCUGAGAAAUACACAAACAGGAAUACAAAAAAAAAAAAAAAAUUUAAAAUAAUUUAUCAGUCUUUUCUUGAUAGUUUUCAAUUCUUAUAACU